AAUUAGGGAUGCCCUCUUUUUUUGAGCACAUCUUGAUUAAUGUAAUAUUCCGUUGCCGUUGUAUUCUGUAUGUUCUGUGAACCACCUUAAAGGAGAACAUUUUCUGUGUAUGUAUAUGGUAGUAAUAUGGUAUGUAACGAUAGUGAAAGUAACCAUAGUGAAAUUUGCAUAAAGUAAAAAUAUUGGAA
This is a long non-coding RNA of Hydra vulgaris (swiftwater hydra), 188 nucleotides long. RefSeq lists it as uncharacterized. Lineage: Eukaryota; Metazoa; Cnidaria; Hydrozoa; Anthoathecata; Hydridae. The record is from RefSeq and is a predicted model, not a curated record.